AUCCAGCUGACGAGUCCCAAAUAGGACGGAGCGCGCGUCCUGUAU
This is a non-coding RNA of Schistosoma curassoni, 45 nucleotides long. The record is from Rfam. NCBI's taxonomy places the organism in Eukaryota, Metazoa, Platyhelminthes, Trematoda, Strigeidida, Schistosomatidae.